AAACUUCACACUGGGGGCAACCCCGAUGAGGGAAUUCCUAGUGCCAGGGCCUCUGGUCCUGGCUUUUCUCCGGCGUAGACGACCGGAGGAAUAAGGGCUGGGUAAGACGGGUGCCAGCCGCCGCGGUAAUACCUGCAGCCCGAGUGGUGGUCGAUUUUAUUGAGUCUAAAACGUUCGUAGCCGGCCCGGUAAAUCCCUGGGUAAAUCGGGAAGCUCAACUUCCCGAAUUCCGGGGAGACUGCCGGGCUUGGGACCGGGAGAGGCUAGAGGUACUUCUGGGGUAGGGGUAAAUCCUGUAAUCCUGGAAGGACCACCGGUGGCGAAGGCGUCUAGCUAGAACGGAUCCGACGGUGAGGGACGAAGCCCUGGGUCGCAAACGGGAUUAGAUACCCCGGUAGUCUAGGGUGUAAACGCUGCAGACUAGGUGUUGGAGGCCCUACGGGGGCACCCAGUGCCCGAGAGAAGUUGUUAAGUCUGCUACUUGGGGAGUACGUCCGCAAGGAUGAAACUUAAAGGAAUU
RNAcentral lists this ribosomal RNA (520 nucleotides) under uncultured bacterium. RNAcentral describes it as "bacterial SSU rRNA". It matches the Rfam family "Archaeal small subunit ribosomal RNA", at positions 345 to 866 of the family's 1478-position model. The record is from RNAcentral.